GAAAUGCGAUACGUCAUGCGAAUUGCAGAAACUUGUGAGUCAUCAAAACUUUGAACGCAACUUGCACUUCCUUUCGGGGGAGUAUGUCUGUUGGAGUGUCUGUUCAUCCCCACUUUGUUACUCUAUGUACAAAGAGUCGACCACUUGAUGUGAACUUUUUUGUUUGAAUUCGAGUGAGUCUAGAUGAUAGACCUAAACACUAACGAACUCGGCCAGGGCUCCGCAUUUUCUUCGGAAAGUGUGCUCGGUCGACGCGACGUGACAAAUUAGCUCUUUCGGAGCUUCUUUCCUCUCAACGCGUCUUCAUUUCAAACGAGCAAAUAGGACCUUGAUUGUUCCCGGUUCUUCCGACCGGACCUCCAAUCAGACAAGAUUACCCGCUGAAUUUAA
Molecule: unclassified non-coding RNA, 390 nt
Filed under: uncultured Pyrenulales
Lineage: Eukaryota; Fungi; Ascomycota; Eurotiomycetes; Pyrenulales
Description: sequence contains ITS1
Rfam family: 5.8S ribosomal RNA (bases 1-101)
Source: RNAcentral